ACAAAACAUAAUUCCAAUUAGUUAUCAUAGAAAUGCCAAAAUGAACUCUACAUUUUGAAGACAGGUAAAAAAGAUGGGCUGCAUACAACCAAAUGUUUACAUGCAAUACUCAUAUAAUGCAGUUAUUUUACAGACCUAUCUCCCAAGUGAAAAUGCCUCUUGCAUCUUAACAAACUAUAAAGUGCUACCAUAGAAGUUUACAUCUCCAGUAAAAAUAUAAAAAAUAAAGAUAGAAGAAUGCCCCAUUUAGAAAGAAACAAUUCUUGGUGAUAGACGAUGGAGCUGAAGAUGCAAAGACAAGAUUCAUAACAGGCAUCACAAGACAACUUUCUACAAUACACUUCUCCAAAGUUUUGCAUAAAAGUUUGCAAGUUUAAUAGGUUUGAGUGCCAUGGAAUGUAAGCAAGAAUCACAUAAAGCAAUGUUUCAGAGAUUAGAAUAACUCCCAUCUGUAUCUUUAAAACUGCAGAUUUCAUAGUUUCUAUACAGUAUAAAACAAGAAGAGGGUACAGGAAUACAUAUUUUUUAUAUCUACCAACAGCAAUGCACAAACUCAGAUAACAAAGCCAAUAAACAAAAAUAAACAUAAGAAA
RNAcentral lists this unclassified non-coding RNA (593 nucleotides) under Hevea brasiliensis (rubber tree). The record is from RNAcentral. Lineage: Eukaryota; Viridiplantae; Streptophyta; Magnoliopsida; Malpighiales; Euphorbiaceae.